ACCUGGGUGGCUCAGUUGGUUGAGUGUCCGACUUUGGCUCAGGUCAUGAUCUCACAGUUUGUGGGUUCAAGUCCUGCCUCGGGCU
RNAcentral lists this transfer RNA (85 nucleotides) under Felis catus (domestic cat). It matches the Rfam family "tRNA". Rfam says of the family: Transfer RNA (tRNA) molecules are approximately 80 nucleotides in length. Their secondary structure includes four short double-helical elements and three loops (D, anti-codon, and T loops). Lineage: Eukaryota; Metazoa; Chordata; Mammalia; Carnivora; Felidae. The record is from Rfam by way of RNAcentral.